This 172-nucleotide ribosomal RNA is filed under the name Bacillus paralicheniformis. Its description in RNAcentral is "partial 23S ribosomal RNA". It matches the Rfam family "Bacterial large subunit ribosomal RNA", at positions 2756 to 2925 of the family's 2925-position model. The record is from RNAcentral. Lineage: Bacteria; Bacillati; Bacillota; Bacilli; Caryophanales; Bacillaceae.
CGGACGGGAUAAGUGCUGAAAGCAUCUAAGCAUGAAGCCCCCCUCAAGAUGAGAUUUCCCAUUCCGCAAGGAAGUAAGAUCCCUGAAAGAUGAUCAGGUUGAUAGGUCUGAGGUGGAAGUGUGGCGACACAUGGAGCUGACAGAUACUAAUCGAUCGAGGACUUAACCUAAA